UGACGAAGGCCACUCCCGCGCAGGAAAG
This 28-nucleotide small RNA is filed under the name Bombyx mori (domestic silkworm). RNAcentral's name for it is "ovarian small RNA-31693". Lineage: Eukaryota; Metazoa; Arthropoda; Insecta; Lepidoptera; Bombycidae. The record is from RNAcentral.